UGGGCGCAAGCCUGAUCCAGCCAUGCCGCGUGAGUGAUGAAGGCCUUAGGGUCGUAAAGCUCUUUCGCACAGAGAUGAUAAUGACAGUAUCUGGUAAAGAAACCCCGGCUAACUCCGUGCCAGCAGCCGCGGUAAUACGGAGGGGGUUAGCGUUGUUCGGAAUUACUGGGCGUAAAGCGCACGUAGGCGGAUCAGAAAGUAUARGGUGAAAUCCCAGGGCUCAACCCUGGAACUGCCUUGUAAACUCCUGGUCUUGAGUUCGAGAGAGGUGAGUGGAAUUCCGAGUGUAGAGGUGAAAUU
This 300-nucleotide ribosomal RNA is filed under the name uncultured bacterium. RNAcentral describes it as "bacterial SSU rRNA". It matches the Rfam family "Bacterial small subunit ribosomal RNA", at positions 372 to 688 of the family's 1533-position model. The record is from RNAcentral.